This 207-nucleotide ribosomal RNA is filed under the name uncultured bacterium. RNAcentral describes it as "partial 16S ribosomal RNA". It matches the Rfam family "Bacterial small subunit ribosomal RNA", at positions 568 to 774 of the family's 1533-position model. The record is from RNAcentral.
CACGUAGGCGGAUUGCUAAGUCAGGGGUGAAAUCCUGGAGCUCAACUCCAGAACUGCCUUUGAUACUGGCGAUCUCGAGUCCGGGAGAGGUGAGUGGAACUGCGAGUGUAGAGGUGAAAUUCGUAGAUAUUCGCAAGAACACCAGUGGCGAAGGCGGCUCACUGGCCCGGUACUGACGCUGAGGUGCGAAAGCGUGGGGAGCAAACA